CUACGGGACGCUGCAGUGGGGAAUAUUGCACAAUGGAGGAAGCUCUGAUGCAGCAACGCCGCGUGGAGGAUGACACUUUUCGGAGCGUAAACUCCUUUUAUAUAGGAAGAAGAUGACGGUACUAUAUGAAUAAGCGCCGGCUAACUCCGUGCCGGCAGCCGCGGUAAUACGGAGGGCGCAAGCGUUACUCGGAAUCACUGGGCGUAAAGAGCGUGUAGGCGGAUUAAAAAGUCAGAAGUGAAAUCCUAUAGCUUAACUAUAGAACUGCUUCUGAAACUCUUAAUCUAGAAUAUGGGAGAGGUAGAUGGAAUUUCUGGUGUAGGGGUAAAAUCCGUAGAGAUCAGAAGGAAUACCGAUUGCGAAGGCGAUCUACUAGAACAUUAUUGACGCUGAGACGCGAAAGCGUGGGGAGCAAACAGGAUUAGAUACCCCCGUAGUC
This 439-nucleotide ribosomal RNA is filed under the name uncultured bacterium. RNAcentral's name for it is "partial 16S ribosomal RNA". It matches the Rfam family "Bacterial small subunit ribosomal RNA", at positions 339 to 795 of the family's 1533-position model. The record is from RNAcentral.